UCGAUUGAGUUUGAUCAUGGCUCAGAACGAACGCUGGCGGCAGGCCUAACACAUGCAAGUCGAACGCCGUAGCAAUACGGAGUGGCAGACGGGUGAGUAACGCGUGGGAACAUACCCCUCGGUUCGGAAUAACUCAGGGAAACUUGAGCUAAUACCGGAUACGUCCGAGGUUUUAAUCGACCUCGGAGAAAGAUUUAUCGCCGGAGGAUUGGCCCGCGUCUGAUUAGCUUGUUGGUGAGGUAAUGGCUCACCAAGGCGACGAUCAGUAGCUGGUCUGAGAGGAUGAUCAGCCACAUUGGGACUGAGACCCGGACCAAACUCCUACGGGAGGCAGCAGUGGGGAAUAUUGGACAAUGGGCGAAAGCCUGAUCCAGCCAUGCCGCGUGAGUGAUGAAGGCCUUAGGGUUGUAAAGCUCUUUUACCCGGGAAGAUAAUGACGGUACCGGGAGAAUAAGCCCCGGCUACUUCGUGCCAGCAGCCGCGGUAAUACGAAGGGGGCUAGCGUUGUUCGGAAUUACUGGGCGUAAAGCGCACGUAGGCGGAUCUUUAAGUCAGGGGUGAAAUCCCGAGGCUCAACCUCGGAACUGCCUUUGAUACUGGGGAUAUCGAGUCCGGGAGAGGUGAGUGGAACUGCGAGUGUAGAGGUGAAAUUCGUAGAUAUUCGCAAGAACAC
Molecule: ribosomal RNA, 673 nt
Filed under: uncultured bacterium
Lineage: Bacteria
Description: bacterial SSU rRNA
Rfam family: Bacterial small subunit ribosomal RNA
Source: RNAcentral